RNAcentral lists this ribosomal RNA (478 nucleotides) under uncultured bacterium. RNAcentral's name for it is "partial 16S ribosomal RNA". It matches the Rfam family "Bacterial small subunit ribosomal RNA", at positions 28 to 507 of the family's 1533-position model. The record is from RNAcentral.
GAUGAACGCUGGCGGCGUGCUUAACACAUGCAAGUCGAACGAGAAGUGAAGACGGAAACCUUCGGGCGGAAGGCUUUAUUUCGAGUGGCGGACGGGUGAGUAACGCGUGGGUAACCUGCCUCAUACAGGGGGAUAACAGUUGGAAACGACUGUUAAUACCGCAUAAGACCACAGCACCGCAUGGUGCGGGGGUAAAAACUCCGGUGGUAUGAGAUGGACCCGCGUUCGAUUAGCCAGUUGGCGGGGUAACGGCCCACCAAAGCGACGAUCGAUAGCCGAUCUGAGAGGAUGACCGGCCACAGUGGGACUGAGACACGGCCCAAACUCCUACGGGAGGCAGCAGUGGGGAAUAUUGCACAAUGGGGGAAACCAUGAUGCAGCGACGCCGCGUGAGUGAAGAAGUAUUUCGGUAUGUAAAGCUCUAUCAGCAGGGAAGAAAAUGACGGUACCUGAGUAGGAAGCCCCGGCUAACUACGUG